CUUUGAGUAAUGCACUGUAGGCUGCUUAAGUGAUGAAUUGGCUGUUUUCAUGAUUCCCCGGCUUGUGAAAACAUAAGAUGAGUGUCAUGUCACACUUACAUUAACAUCACACGUUGUUGUGUGUGUUGCAGGAGGCUCUGCUUGAAGACCUUGCAACCAGGGAUCAUCCUCCCGUCUCUGCGCUGCAGCCGUCACGGACAUCUCAAGGGUCCAAAAGCUGUUUUUAUUAACAUGGUUUUGUUUUUGCAUUCCUGUCUGCUCUUAGCAAUCUGCAAGCCAUAGGACCAAUGCACACACACACACACACACAAACACACACAGCAGAGAUAAUUCAUGCGUCCGACCACAAAGUAUAAACACAGUGGUUUGGUAUCUCUCUCCGCAACGUGUCUUGUCUAGGUACUGAAAGAUAAGCUUGUUUUUUCAAGAAUGUCAAUGCACGAGUCUACUUCACUUGUUUUGAUUCUGUGUCAAAUCUCCGCUGUCGUUUUAUCUUUGUUUUACGAUUCAAAUAUGUUUACAGCUGCUUUGUUUGGCAGGUGACGGAGACAGAAGAAGAGGAAGGUUGUUAGCCGUAAAGACCUUCUCAGAAAGAGGAAAGACGCUGCAGGUAGCUGCGGUCGCCUUAACCAGAGACACUCAGCCUGACGCUAAAAUAAACAGAUGACACAUUGUGG
Non-coding RNA from Xyrichtys novacula (pearly razorfish), 677 nucleotides. The record is from the annotation of a GenBank genome assembly. Lineage: Eukaryota; Metazoa; Chordata; Actinopteri; Labriformes; Labridae.